GCGGCUGUAACUCAGCUGGAUAGAGUACCUGGCUACGAACCAGGAAGUCAGGAGUUCGAAUCUCUUCAGCCGCGCCA
RNAcentral lists this transfer RNA (77 nucleotides) under bacterium. Its description in RNAcentral is "tRNA-Arg". It matches the Rfam family "tRNA". Rfam says of the family: Transfer RNA (tRNA) molecules are approximately 80 nucleotides in length. Their secondary structure includes four short double-helical elements and three loops (D, anti-codon, and T loops). The record is from RNAcentral.